Molecule: ribosomal RNA, 465 nt
Filed under: uncultured bacterium
Lineage: Bacteria
Description: partial 16S ribosomal RNA
Rfam family: Bacterial small subunit ribosomal RNA
Source: RNAcentral
CCUACGGGAGGCAGCAGUAGGGAAUCUUCGGCAAUGGGGGCAACCCUGACCGAGCAACGCCGCGUGCGUGAAGACGGUUUUCGGAUUGUAAAGCUCUGUUGUAAGAGAAGAACGUGUGUGAGAGUGGAACGUUCACACUGUGACGGUAACUUACCAGCAAGGGACGGCUAACUACGUGCCAGCAGCCGCGGUAAUACGUAGGUCCCGAGCGUUAUCCGGAUUUAUUGGGCGUAAGGCCAGCGCAGGCGGUUGGUUAAGUCUGAAGGUAAAGGCUGUGGCUCAACCAUAGUAUGCUUUGGAAACUGUUCAACUUGAGUGCAGAAGGGGAGAGUGGAAUUCCAUGUGUAGCGGUGGAAUGCGUAGAUAUAUGGAGGAACACCGGUGGCGAAGGCAGCUCUCUGGUCUGUAACUGACGCUGAGGCUCGAAAGCGUGGGUAGCGAACAGGAUUAGAUACCCGAGUAGUC